Molecule: small nuclear RNA, 162 nt
Organism: Gastrolobium bilobum
Lineage: Eukaryota; Viridiplantae; Streptophyta; Magnoliopsida; Fabales; Fabaceae
Product: U1 spliceosomal RNA
Exons: 1
Source: RefSeq, a predicted model, not a curated record
AUACUUACCUGGACGGGGUCAAUGGAUGAUCAAGAAGGUCCAUGGCCUAGGUUGGUGACUUCCAUUGCACCUAGGAGGGGUGCCCACCUAAGGUCUCCUCAUUGUAGGAGAGCCUACGUCAUAAUUUGUGAUAGUAGGGGCCUGCGUUCGCGCGGCCCCUUU